CGAGGCGAGAGCCCUUCGCGGGGCGCAUCGUCGACCGAUCCUAUUCACUUGUGAAGGGAUUCGAGUGAGAGCGUGCCUGUUGCGACCCGAAAGAUGGUGAACUAUGCCUGAGUAGGGUGAAGCCAGAGGAAACUCUGGUGGAGGCCCGUCGCGAUUCUGACGUGCAAAUCGAUCGUCAAACUUGGGUAUAGGGGCGAAAGACUA
This 204-nucleotide ribosomal RNA is filed under the name Rosulaspongilla rhadinaea. RNAcentral's name for it is "Spongillidae gen. R sp. r VI-2020 partial large subunit ribosomal RNA". It matches the Rfam family "Eukaryotic large subunit ribosomal RNA", at positions 727 to 933 of the family's 3401-position model. Lineage: Eukaryota; Metazoa; Porifera; Demospongiae; Spongillida; Spongillidae. The record is from RNAcentral.